Molecule: ribosomal RNA, 211 nt
Filed under: uncultured bacterium
Lineage: Bacteria
Description: partial 16S ribosomal RNA
Rfam family: Bacterial small subunit ribosomal RNA
Source: RNAcentral
AGUUCAGAUUGUAGGCUGAAACUCGCCUAUAUGAAGUCGGAAUUGCUAGUAAUCGCGGAUCAGCAUGCCGCGGUGAAUACGUUCCCGGGCCUUGUACACACCGCCCGUCACACCAUGAGAGUCGAUAACACCCGAAGCCUGUAGUCUAACAGCAAUGAGGACGCAGUCGAAGGUGGGAUUGAUAAUUAGGGUGAAGUCGUAACAAGGUACC